Molecule: ribosomal RNA, 497 nt
Filed under: uncultured bacterium
Lineage: Bacteria
Description: partial 16S ribosomal RNA
Rfam family: Bacterial small subunit ribosomal RNA
Source: RNAcentral
GACGAACGCUGGCGGCGUGCCUAAUACAUGCAAGUUGAGCGCUGAAGGUUGGUACUUGUACCGACUGGAUGGGCAGCGAACGGGUGAGUAACGCGUGGGGAAUCUGCCUUUGAGCGGGGGACAACAUUUGGAAACGAAUGCUAAUACCGCAUAAAAACUUUAAACACAAGUUUUAAGUUUGAAAGAUGCAAUUGCAUCACUCAAAGAUGAUCCCGCGUUGUAUUAGCUAGUUGGUGAGGUAAAGGCUCACCAAGGCGAUGAUACAUAGCCGACCUGAGAGGGUGAUCGGCCACAUUGGGACUGAGACACGGCCCAAACUCCUACGGGAGGCAGCAGUAGGGAAUCUUCGGCAGUGGACGAAAGUCUGACCGAGCAACGCCGCGUGAGUGAAGAAGGUUUUCGGAUCGUAAAACUCUGUUGGUAGAGAAGAACGUUGGUGAGAGUGGAAAGCUCAUCAAGUGACGGUAACUACCCAGAAAGGGACGGCUAACUACGUG